RNAcentral lists this ribosomal RNA (268 nucleotides) under uncultured bacterium. Its description in RNAcentral is "partial 16S ribosomal RNA". It matches the Rfam family "Bacterial small subunit ribosomal RNA", at positions 793 to 1055 of the family's 1533-position model. The record is from RNAcentral.
GUCCACGCCGUAAACGAUGAGUGCUAGGUGCUGUGGGUAUUGACCCCCGCGGUGCCGUAGCUAACGCGUUAAGCACUCCGCCUGGGGAGGUACGGCCGCAAGGCUAAAACUCAAAGGAAUUGACGGGGGCCCCGCACAAGCGGUGGAGCAUGUGGUUCAAUUCGACGCAACGCGCAGAACCUUACCUGGGUUAAAUCCACUCAAACCUGGCAGAGAUGUUGGGGUGCCCUUCGGGGAAGUGAGUGAGAAGGUGCUGCAUGGCUGUCGU